CCAAUAGCGUAUAUUAAAGUUGUUGCAGUUAAAAAGCUCGUAGUUGAAUUUCGGGACCAAUUUGUUGGUCGUGCCUCGGUACGUACUGGUAUCAUUGGUUUCUCCCUUCUGAAGAACCUCGAUGCCAUUAAUUUGGUGUCGUGGGGAAUCAGGACUGUUACUUUGAAAAAAUUAGAGUGUUUAAAGCAAGCAUACGCUUGAAUACAUUAGCAUGGAAUAAUGAAAUAGGACGUUUGAUUCUAUUUUGUUGGUUUCUAGGAUCGACGUAAUGAUUAAUAGGGAUAGUUGGGGGCAUUAGGAUUCAAUUGUCAGAGGUGAAAUUCUUGGAUUUAUUGAAGACUAACUACUGCGAAAGCAGUUGCCAAGGAUGUUUUCAUUAAUCAAGAACGAAAGUUAGGGGAUCGAAGACGAUCAGAUACCGUCGUAGUCUUAACCAUAAACUAUGCCGACUAGGGAUCGGAUGAUGUUAAUUUUUUAAUGACUCAUUCGGCGCCUUACGGGAAACCAAAGUGUUUGGGUC
This 520-nucleotide ribosomal RNA is filed under the name uncultured Glomus. RNAcentral describes it as "SSU rRNA". It matches the Rfam family "Eukaryotic small subunit ribosomal RNA", at positions 591 to 1113 of the family's 1831-position model. Lineage: Eukaryota; Fungi; Glomeromycota; Glomeromycetes; Glomerales; Glomeraceae. The record is from RNAcentral.